CGAGACCCACGCCAACAGUUGCCAGCAUGUCCUCCGGGAUGAUGGGGACACUGUUGGACGCUCUGCUAAAGAGGGAGGAAGGAAUGGGCAACGGUAGGUCAGCAUGCCCCGAAGUUAUCCCGGGCUACACGCGGGCUACAAUGGUCAGGACAAUGGGGUAUCGACACCGAGAGGUGGAGGCAAUCUCCGUAAACCUGUCCUUAGUUCGGAUUGUGGGCUGCAACUCGCCCACAUGAAGCUGGAAUCCGUAGUAAUCGCGUUUCAAAAUAGCGCGGUGAAUAUGUCCCUGCUCCUU
Molecule: ribosomal RNA, 295 nt
Filed under: uncultured Methanolinea sp.
Lineage: Archaea; Methanobacteriati; Methanobacteriota; Methanomicrobia; Methanomicrobiales; Methanoregulaceae
Description: partial 16S ribosomal RNA
Rfam family: Archaeal small subunit ribosomal RNA
Source: RNAcentral